CCUCGCUUGGUUUGAGUGUUUGAGGAACAGCGUGGUACAGACGGCAACGUGAUUGGAGCCGACAGUGGCAGCCGGCAGUCACCUGCGUGGAGGAGAAAAAAAGCCCCCGUCUGGCUUUUCUCAGAAGGGCUUUUAGCGUUCCAUCAGUGACGGUGUUUUGUCAGGUGUAUUAACACGAAAGGCCCGCUGCAGUGGUGUCGGCAAGGACAAGUUGUUGCCAUGUUGCAUUCUGUUCUACCACGACCGCUUUUCACUGCUGUGACCCAGAACACACAGCUGAUCAUUAGAGUUAUUCAUCAUGGCUCCUGACACUUCAUAACCUGGACUAUUUGCAAACGCUGGUUCCAUAACACAGCCGGACUCCAGGAGAACAACCAAGAGAGGAGUUCUCCAGCUCUGACUUCAUAAAUUCUUCAGGAUGCAGGCCGACACAGCUGUGGCAUACGUUCAACACUCCGCGGGGACAGGAGGCUCUGCCAACAAGAUGGAGUCUUUAUGGAUUUCCCACCUCUCUGUUAAUAUUCAGAUACUUCUGCCCACUGGCACUGUGUAUGUACCUGUGGUACACGAAGCACUGUUAUAACAUGAUAUCCUCAGACGUGGGAAUUGAUAACAAUGUUGUGCGGCCUCUUGACCCACUGGUUCUAAUCACCAUCAUAAUCCACCCCCUGAUUAUCACUCGCCUCCUGCAUAACAUACCGCUGGUGGCUGCACUACCAAUCAUUAAAUGCCAGUGUCAAUGCAAGCAUAUUUUAUGGUGGAGGUAGGCUGGUGGACAUUAAUUAGUCCAACAUUGUCCAUAUGCAUUAUUCAGUUGUGUAGGAGGUAUUUUGGCGAAGGAAAGUCAGAAAGAAAAAUGUGAUUGCUUCACUCUUCGCCUCCAUAUGAAGUGAUUUGCAGCUAAUCACACCAUUUACAUAUUCACAUCUCAAAGCUCCUUUCUUUUUGUGUUAAAUGCAGCAGGGGCCUGACUUUAGUACUAUCUUAACCAUAGACUGGUUUCUUGUUAUUGUAGGAUCACUGAGUUAAAUAAAACUUGUUCUGUCAGUUAGUGAGACGAUGAGCAGCACUAAAAUAAAGGCACGAGUUGGUAAGGAAACACAUCCAAGCUUUAAUGGAUCAUUAGAGGCAAAUUUUGGCUGAUAAAAAUGUCUUGGAUGACAUGUUGAUGUAAUAAACUUUACCCAGUGAGGUUUUAGAUGAAGCUCAGAGGCCGACUGCCAGCAGCGAUAGAACGCUGGCACACUCAGGCAAAACAAGAAUAUUUCAAAGAUUAGCUCAAAACACAUGAAUAGACAUGGGGCAGAGAUUCAAACGUUUAAACUCAACAAGUCAGUGAGUUCAGGUCAGAGCACUCAGUCAAGCCAGUAUUGGUGACCAGAGUUGCAAAUAUUUGUAUUAUUUGAAAGAGCUUUUGAAAUCAUUCUCUUAUCCACUUCAAAUACUGAUAUGAAUGUUUUUAAAAUCACAGUCAGAGAGCAACAUGCAAAGUGGUAGCAAGUAGCAAAGCUAAUUAACAGCUUACAGUGUCAGUCUUUAGCUUUCAAACCGAGACUGCAGCACUCCGUCCCUCCUCCAUCACAACAAAACACCCAGACUAAAAGACAUCAACAGCUACUUGUAACCUCUUUGUAAUUAUUUUGUCUCUUUGAAGCAAUUUUGUGUUGUAGUUUUACAUUUGUUUGAAAUAAUUGUGCAGCUCUUUGUAGCUCAUUUGCAUCUUUUUGUGUUUCUUUGUGUCUCACUGUCGAAGUAUUUCACCUCUUUGUUCGUAUUUUGUGUCUUUGUAGCAAUUCUGUUUUUCUGCGUUGAUGUUCUGCAUCUAUUUGAAGCCGUUUUGCAGCUCUUUGAAUCUUUGAGGUUAUUUUGUUUCUGUCUGUGACUUUUGUGUUUCUUUGUAGUUCUUGUUUUGCAUCUAUUUGAAGGAAUUUUAUACAUCUUUGCAUCUCUUUGAAGUGGUUACCCUGUCUACUUAUAGUUGUUUUGUGUCUAGUAGCAGUUUUUACCUCUUCGUACACAAAUUGUAUCUUCCGUUGGCAUUUUUGUGUUUCUUUGUCGUUGUUUUGCUUGUCUGUGAAGCUGUUCUACAGCUUGUUGCAUCACUUUUAAGUUGUUUUUCUGUCACCUUGCAGUCAUUUUGUGUGUCUUUGUAGCAGUUUUGUAUUCAUUGAUGUUUUCUUUAAAGUGAUUUUGCAGCUUUC
This is a long non-coding RNA of Acanthochromis polyacanthus (spiny chromis), 2201 nucleotides long. RefSeq lists it as uncharacterized. The record is from RefSeq and is a predicted model, not a curated record. Lineage: Eukaryota; Metazoa; Chordata; Actinopteri; Pomacentridae. The transcript has 2 exons.